CCUAUAGGUCCUUACCCUCUCCCUGUAGGUCCAUGUCCUUACCCUCUUCCUGUAGGUCCUUACCCUCUCCCUGUAGGUCCUUACCCUCUCCCUAUAGGUCCUUACCCUCUUC
Molecule: non-coding RNA, 112 nt
Organism: Oncorhynchus mykiss (rainbow trout)
Lineage: Eukaryota; Metazoa; Chordata; Actinopteri; Salmoniformes; Salmonidae
Source: RefSeq, a predicted model, not a curated record